GUGAGAAGGGUUAGGGGGAGAAACCAUAGACAACUUCCAACACCACAGCAGAGAAUGAGGACCCAGGGGCAACCUCCAACAUCACAACAUAACCAAAAUGAAAUUGCAAGUCAAGGACAAAGAGAGGGCAUAAGCACAUUUGGAAUGGGAUUUAAUCAAACUUCUACAAAUGUGACAACAACCAACCCACCUGGAAUU
Molecule: long non-coding RNA, 198 nt
Organism: Dioscorea cayenensis subsp. rotundata (Guinea yam)
Lineage: Eukaryota; Viridiplantae; Streptophyta; Magnoliopsida; Dioscoreales; Dioscoreaceae
Exons: 3
Source: RefSeq, a predicted model, not a curated record